GGCGAACGGCUGAGUAACACGUGGGCAAUCUGCCCUUCACUCUGGGACAAGCCCUGGAAACGGGGUCUAAUACCGGAUACAACUACUACAGGCAUCUGUUGGUGGUGGAAAGCUCCGGCGGUGAAGGAUGAGCCCGCGGCCUAUCAGCUUGUUGGUGAGGUAGUGGCUCACCAAGGCGACGACGGGUAGCCGGCCUGAGAGGGCGACCGGCCACACUGGGACUGAGACACGGCCCAGACUCCUACGGGAGGCAGCAGUGGGGAAUAUUGCACAAUGGGCGAAAGCCUGAUGCAGCGACGCCGCGUGAGGGAUGACGGCCUUCGGGUUGUAAACCUCUUUCAGCAGGGAAGAAGCGAAAGUGACGGUACCUGCAGAAGAAGCGCCGGCUAACUACGUGCCAGCAGCCGCGGUAAUACGUAGGGCGCGAGCGUUGUCCGGAAUUAUUGGGCGUAAAGAGCUCGUAGGCGGCUUGUCACGUCGGGUGUGAAAGACCGGGGCUUAACUCCGGUUCUGCAUUCGAUACGGGCUAGCUAGAGUUCGGUAGGGGAGAUCGGAAUUCCUGGUGUAGCGGUGAAAUGCGCAGAUAUCAGGAGGAACACCGGUGGCGAAGGCGGAUCUCUGGGCCGAUACUGACGCUGAGGAGCGAAAGCGUGGGGGAGCGAACAGGAUUAGAUA
Molecule: ribosomal RNA, 675 nt
Filed under: Streptomyces bluensis
Lineage: Bacteria; Bacillati; Actinomycetota; Actinomycetes; Kitasatosporales; Streptomycetaceae
Description: bacterial SSU rRNA
Rfam family: Bacterial small subunit ribosomal RNA
Source: RNAcentral